AAAUUGAAGAGUUUGAUCAUGGCUCAGAUUGAACGCUGGCGGCAGGCCUAACACAUGCAAGUCGAACGGUAACAGGAAGCAGCUUGCUGCUUUGCUGACGAGUGGCGGACGGGUGAGUAAUGUCUGGGAAACUGCCUGAUGGAGGGGGAUAACUACUGGAAACGGUGGCUAAUACCGCAUAACGUCGCAAGACCAAAGAGGGGGACCUUCGGGUCUCUUGCCAUCAGAUGUGCCCAGAUGGGAUUAGCUUGUUGGUGAGGUAACGGCUCACCAAGGCGACGAUCCCUAGCUGGUCUGAGAGGAUGACCAGCCACACUGGAACUGAGACACGGUCCAGACUCCUACGGGAGGCAGCAGUGGGGAAUAUUGCACAAUGGGCGCAAGCCUGAUGCAGCCAUGCCGCGUGUAUGAAGAAGGCCUUCGGGUUGUAAAGUACUUUCAGCGGGGAGGAAGGUGUUG
Molecule: ribosomal RNA, 459 nt
Filed under: Salmonella enterica
Lineage: Bacteria; Pseudomonadati; Pseudomonadota; Gammaproteobacteria; Enterobacterales; Enterobacteriaceae
Description: bacterial SSU rRNA
Rfam family: Bacterial small subunit ribosomal RNA
Source: RNAcentral